GAUGAAGAACGUAGCGAAAUGCGAUAAGUAAUGUGAAUUGCAGAAUUCAGUGAAUCAUCGAAUCUUUGAACGCACAUUGCGCCCGCCAGUAUUCUGGCGGGCAUGCCUGUUCGAGCGUCAUUUCAACCAUCAAGCCCCAGGCUUGUGUUGGGGACCUGCGGCUGCCGCAGGCCCUGAAAACCAGUGGCGGGCUCGCUGUCACACCGGGCGUAGUAGAUUUUAUCUCGCUCAGGGCGUGCUGCGGGUUCCGGCCGUUAAAAAGCCUUUUUUACCCAAGGUUGACCUCGGAUCAGGUAGGAAGACCCGUUGAACUUAAGCAUAUCAAUAAGCGGAGGA
RNAcentral lists this unclassified non-coding RNA (336 nucleotides) under soil metagenome. Its description in RNAcentral is "partial contains 5.8S ribosomal RNA, internal transcribed spacer 2, and large subunit ribosomal RNA". The stretch from base 1 to 120 matches the Rfam family "5.8S ribosomal RNA", at positions 35 to 154 of the family's 154-position model. The record is from RNAcentral.